CAAGUCGAGGGGUAGCAGGAUCUAGCAAUAGAUUGCUGACGACCGGCGCACGGGUGAGUAACACGUAUCCAACCUUCCGUUUACUCGGGGAUAGCCUUUCGAAAGAAAGAUUAAUACCCGAUAGUAUGCUUUUCCCGCAUGGGAGAAUCAUUAAAGUUUUUCGGUAAUCGAUGGGGAUGCGUUCCAUUAGGCAGUUGGUGAGGUAACGGCUCACCAAACCUUCGAUGGAUAGGGGUUCUGAGAGGAAGGUCCCCCACAUUGGAACUGAGACACGGUCCAAACUCCUACGGGAGGCAGCAGUGAGGAAUAUUGGUCAAUGGACGAGAGUCUGAACCAGCCAAGUAGCGGUAGGAAGGAUGACUGCCCUAUGGGUUAGUAAACUUCUUUUAUAUGGGAAUAAAGGAGCCUACGUGUAGGUUUUUGUAUGUACCAUACGAAUAAGGAUCGGCUAACUCCGUGCCAGCAGCCGC
RNAcentral lists this ribosomal RNA (470 nucleotides) under uncultured bacterium. Its description in RNAcentral is "bacterial SSU rRNA". It matches the Rfam family "Bacterial small subunit ribosomal RNA", at positions 58 to 518 of the family's 1533-position model. The record is from RNAcentral.